UAGUUUAGAUUUCAAUGAGAUUCCAAACCAGAGAUAACACUAUAAGCACAGUACACAGAUUAAACAUGAUUAUUUAUGCUCCAACGACUUCGGUUUCUCCUUCUACCAUUGUUUCCUCAAUUGGUCUCUCGAGCUUCACACCAACAUCCUCAGAGUAGUCACCAUGAACCUAUACAGAAAACAUCACAGAAUCAUUACACCAAGACCAAGUCACCAAUAUCUUAGCAAAUUAGUAAUUAGAAUUUUACAGACUAUCAUGGAGCACAUACCUCCAUCAAUUUGCCAAUAUCAAAUUUAGGUGCUUUCAGGAUCUUGACUUUGCGGAUAAAGACAUUUUGGAGAGGGAAGAUGCUCGAAGUUGCUUUCUCAAUCUCUCGGCCAAUAGAUUCAGGGAUAAACUUAGCCACCAGCUCCUUAAGAUCACAAGAGCU
RNAcentral lists this long non-coding RNA (431 nucleotides) under Daucus carota (carrot). RNAcentral's name for it is "long non-coding RNA (DCAR_LNC003898)". Lineage: Eukaryota; Viridiplantae; Streptophyta; Magnoliopsida; Apiales; Apiaceae. The record is from RNAcentral.